Molecule: ribosomal RNA, 429 nt
Filed under: Chloroflexota bacterium
Lineage: Bacteria; Bacillati; Chloroflexota
Description: Chloroflexi bacterium partial 16S ribosomal RNA
Rfam family: Bacterial small subunit ribosomal RNA
Source: RNAcentral
UGGGGAAUAUUGCACAAUGGGCGCAAGCCUGAUGCAGCCAUGCCGCGUGUGUGAAGAAGGCCUUCGGGUUGUAAAGCACUUUCAGCGGGGAGGAAGGCGGUGAGGUUAAUAACCUCAUCGAUUGACGUUACCCGCAGAAGAAGCACCGGCUAACUCCGUGCCAGCAGCCGCGGUAAUACGGAGGGUGCAAGCGUUAAUCGGAAUUACUGGGCGUAAAGCGCACGCAGGCGGUCUGUCAAGUCGGAUGUGAAAUCCCCGGGCUCAACCUGGGAACUGCAUUCGAAACUGGGAGACUUGAGUGCAGAAGAGGAGAGUGGAAUUCCAUGUGUAGCGGUGAAAUGCGUAGAUAUAUGGAGGAACACCAGUGGCGAAGGCGGCUCUCUGGUCUGUAACUGACGCUGAGGCUCGAAAGCGUGGGGAGCAAACAGG